Molecule: long non-coding RNA, 1028 nt
Organism: Brienomyrus brachyistius
Lineage: Eukaryota; Metazoa; Chordata; Actinopteri; Osteoglossiformes; Mormyridae
Exons: 3
Source: RefSeq, a predicted model, not a curated record
GUUCCUAUUCCACAUGAACACAAUUUAUUCUCUGCCAGUAUGACCCGGCUGUUGCAUAUUUGUGAUAAACACGUAAAUUGUAAGCUGCGGUGCUUAGUCCUGUUCUCAGCUUCAAGAAAUGACCUGUGAAAGUGGAGAUAAUUCUUGUCCAGAGGCAUGGUAUAUUGGUGAAUGGUUUCGCUAUUUUCUGUUUGGGGUCUGGGUCUUAGAUAUUGCUUUGAUAUUUUUGAUAAUGCAUUUAAGUAUAAAAAUACAACAGAUUAAGAUGAGGCUGGAGCGAGAUGAUUGGCUGGUGAGCGACGAGAAAGAACAGCUUCGUGGGUCACAGUGAUGCCGCCAAGCUAAAAGCCGCAGGACGCGAUGGAAUGCAGUGCUGAUCCGGGAGAGCCAUCCUUCCCCAAAGCAUUCAGGGACUCUCCAACCACUCACCCAGGGCAGGCUUGUGCUGAGGCAGGCAGCCAAUGUCUACAAUCUCUUUGGAAACGUCUUACUCAAAACUGGGCUCGAUUUAAUCAAUAAAAGUAAAUUGCCAUUAGCUGCAUGUUGAUCAUGUAUAAUCAUGUAUGAUCGCUGAUCACAUAGCAAAUCAGAUUUUAAUUUAUCUUCAUGGUGCAUUUACAAUAUCAUUGAUGAUGAUGUCAUAUUGCAAAGGAAAAGCGUGAGACAAUCUAUUGUUGUAUUAUUAUUGAUGCAUCAGUGAUUAUAUUUUGCAUGUUAUGGAGCAUCUUGCUCUUGGAAGGACUGAAAAUGUUGACAACUCAAAGCCAUUUCUGCAAAAUGCAACUAACAGUUGCUACUGAGCUGAACUUAACCACAGCCUCGUGUAUUUUUAGAGUAUUUUUAGUGCUUUGUGAGACAGUCAUAUCUGUGUCACAUGCUCCUCCUUAUUGCUCCUCCUGAGUACAUGGCACAUUACUCAGCAUGAAUGUAUUCUAACUUUGUUUUAAAACCGAAACAAAAAUUUGCAGACGACCGAUGUUGAUAAAAUGCCUGUAAUGUAAAAUGAACAAUACAAUUUCUGACUUCAG